AGUGGCAAACGGGUUGAGUUAACACGCUGAGUAACCUGCCCUUGACUCUGGGAUAAGCCUGGGAAACCGGGUCUAAUACUGGAUACGACCUUCCCACGCAUGUGGUGUUGGUGGAAAGCUUUUGUGGUUUUGGAUGGACUCGCGGCCUAUCAGCUUGUUGGUGGGGUAAUGGCCUACCAAGGCGACGACGGGUAGCCGGCCUGAGAGGGUGACCGGCCACACUGGGACUGAGACACGGCCCAGACUCCUACGGGAGGCAGCAGUGGGGAAUAUUGCACAAUGGGCGCAAGCCUGAUGCAGCGACGCCGCGUGAGGGAUGAAGGCCUUCGGGUUGUAAACCUCUUUCAGUAGGGAAGAAGCCGGCCCUUGGGUUGGUGACGGUACCUGCAGAAAAAGCGCCGGCUAACUACGUGCCAGCAGCCGCGGUAAUACGUAGGGCGCAAGCGUUAUCCGGAAUUAUUGGGCGUAAAGAGCUCGUAGGCGGUUUGUCGCGUCUGCCGUGAAAGUCCGGGGCUUAACCCCGGAUCUGCGGUGGGUACGGGCAGACUAAAGUGCAGUAGGGGAGACUGGAAUUCCUGGUGUAGCGGUGAAAUGCGCAGAUAUCAGGAGGAACACCGAUGGCGAAGGCAGGUCUCUGGGCUGUAACUGACGCUGAAGAGCGAAAGCAUGGGGAGCGAACAGGAUUAGAUACCCUGGUAGUCCAUGCCGUAAACGUUGGGCACUAAGUGUGGGGGACAUUCCACGUUUUCCGCGCCGUAGCUAACGCAUUAAGUGCCCCGCCUGGGGAGUACGGCCGCAAGGCU
Molecule: ribosomal RNA, 803 nt
Filed under: Arthrobacter sp. VC-YC6632
Lineage: Bacteria; Bacillati; Actinomycetota; Actinomycetes; Micrococcales; Micrococcaceae
Description: bacterial SSU rRNA
Rfam family: Bacterial small subunit ribosomal RNA
Source: RNAcentral